This 253-nucleotide ribosomal RNA is filed under the name uncultured bacterium. RNAcentral describes it as "partial 16S ribosomal RNA". It matches the Rfam family "Bacterial small subunit ribosomal RNA", at positions 524 to 776 of the family's 1533-position model. The record is from RNAcentral.
UACGUAGGGGGCAAGCGUUAUCCGGAUUUACUGGGUGUAAAGGGAGCGUAGACGGCAGCGCAAGUCUGGAGUGAAAUGCCGGGGCCCAACCCCGGAACUGCUUUGGAAACUGUGCAGCUCGAGUGCAGGAGAGGUAAGCGGAAUUCCUAGUGUAGCGGUGAAAUGCGUAGAUAUUAGGAGGAACACCAGUGGCGAAGGCGGCUUACUGGACUGUAACUGACGUUGAGGCUCGAAAGCGUGGGGAUCGAACAGG